Non-coding RNA from Caenorhabditis elegans, 86 nucleotides. The record is from Ensembl. Lineage: Eukaryota; Metazoa; Nematoda; Chromadorea; Rhabditida; Rhabditidae.
ACAAAAAAGAAUUGCCCCGAACCAGGAUCGAACUGGUGACCUCACGAUCUUCAGUCGUGCGCUCUCCCAACUGAGCUAUCGAGGCA